UUUAUGUUCUGAACAGGGAGGAAAGCUGACGUAGAAGUGUUGGGCGUAAACCUGUUAUUUGAAGCGGCUGAGCAACUGGACAGUAAGUUUCGUUUUGUGGCGAGGUGCAAAAAACGUAACUGCAUUGCACCCUCCAUACUUGACUCAUGUGUUGUGCAGACGAGGUACCCAUCUGCAGCCUCAUUUCUAUCGAAGUGUCUCUAAAUGACACCCCUUCCGUCUCCUGUGGCUGUGAGUGUAGGUUCACAAAAAACAUGUCGUUUCUGAAAAAAACCUAAAUACUCUUGUUCGCCCUCUUUUAUUUCAAAGUUGCUAUAGAUGAGAGCAACAUGCCUGGUUCUUCGUGACGUGGUGAGGUUGGCAUUUGCCUCUAUGGCGAGUUAAUAAAUGCUUCUUUUUAUUCUUCUGGUUAUGUGUCCUCACAUUGUGUUCUGUACAGGGACGGAAGCCAACGUGGAAGUGUGUGGUGUAAACCUGUUAAUUGAAGCGGCUCAGCAACUGGACAGUAGGUUUCGUUUUGUGGCGAGGUGCAGAAAACGUUAUUGCAUUUCACCCUCUAACCUUUGCUCAUGUUUUGUGCAGAUUAGGUGCCCGUCUGCAGCCCCAUUUCUAUUGAAGUGCCUCAAAACACUAUACCUUGUGAUGGCUGUUGGUGUGAUGGAGGACCAUAAGAGGCACGCAGCACUGAUGCUGGAUGAAAUACAGUUGACACCAGGCCUGGCAUACCACCCUUCUACUCAAGUUGCAAUUGGCAGGCCUUCGCUACCACUGAUUCACGACACCUCCGCAGUAGAUGCAGUAGCUACUCAUGACCUGUUAUAUAUGUUAGGAGGAGCAACUACACGUUGGAAACAAACGAUUGGGUACCAUUUCACGGGAAAUUCAUUUAGCUCUGCUGCAAUAAAGAAUGUUGUUUUGUCAA
Non-coding RNA from Dermacentor andersoni, 922 nucleotides. Lineage: Eukaryota; Metazoa; Arthropoda; Arachnida; Ixodida; Ixodidae. The record is from RefSeq and is a predicted model, not a curated record.